AUAUUUGCGGUUGCGGCAUCAUCAAGAUUCACAAGCUUUAGCAAGGGAAUUCAUUGAAUAGGCCUAUUCAAAAGUUCCUUCCAAAUAAUGGGAAUCUUGAUGAUGCUGCAUCAGCAAAUAU
Molecule: non-coding RNA, 121 nt
Organism: Citrus sinensis (sweet orange)
Lineage: Eukaryota; Viridiplantae; Streptophyta; Magnoliopsida; Sapindales; Rutaceae
Source: Rfam